GGCUCCGGACCGCCGAUGCCGGGACAGAGCUGGGACGCAGCCGUUCUGCAGUCAGUGGAAAUACACACAUUGACUUUAAUGGAAACCUGUUGACUCCGCCGCCGUUCCGGAGCAGAUCCCCAGCCAUUAUGCAUCCAGUGGAAAUUGGUGGUUAC
Etheostoma cragini (Arkansas darter) is the source of this 155-nucleotide long non-coding RNA. RefSeq lists it as uncharacterized. Lineage: Eukaryota; Metazoa; Chordata; Actinopteri; Perciformes; Percidae. The record is from RefSeq and is a predicted model, not a curated record. The transcript has 3 exons.